Molecule: ribosomal RNA, 253 nt
Filed under: uncultured bacterium
Lineage: Bacteria
Description: partial 16S ribosomal RNA
Rfam family: Bacterial small subunit ribosomal RNA
Source: RNAcentral
UACGUAGGGUGCAAGCGUUAAUCGGAAUUACUGGGCGUAAAGAGCGCGUAGGCGGCACGGUACGACCGGUGUGAAAGCCCCGGGCUCAACCCGGGAGGGUCGUGGCAAACCGGCGGGCUUGAGGCCGGUAGAGGUGGGUGGAACUCCUGGUGGAGUGGUGAAAUGCGUAGAGAUCAGGAAGAACACCCGUGGCGAAGGCGGCCCACUGGGCCGGUACUGACGCUGAGGCGCGAAGGCGUGGGGAGCGAACGGG